AGAGUUUGAUCAUGGCUCAGGACAAACGCUGGCGGCGUGCCUAACACAUGCAAGUCGAGCGCGAAAGGAGCUUCGGCUCCGAGUAAAGCGGCGAACGGGUGAGUAACACGUGGGCAACCUGCCCUAGGGACAGGGAUAACUCCGGGAAACCGGGGCUAAUACCUGGCGAUGUCGUCUCGCGCAAGCGAGCCGACCAAAUGGUAGCUUCGGCCUCCGCCCUAGGAUGGGCCCGCGUCCUAUCAGCUUGUUGGUGAGGUAACGGCUCACCAAGGCUACGACGGGUAGCUGGUCUGAGAGGAUGAUCAGCCACACUGGGACUGAGAUACGGCCCAGACUCCUACGGGAGGCAGCAGUGGGGAAUCUUGCGCAAUGGGCGAAAGCCUGACGCAGCAACGCCGCGUGAGCGAAGAAGGCCUUCGGGUUGUAAAGCUCUGUCAGGGGGAAAGAAGGCACCUGGGUUAAUAGCCCAAGGGUUGACGGUACCCCCAAAGGAAGCCACGGCUAACUACGUGCCAGCAGCCGCGGUAAUACGUAGGUGGCAAGCGUUGUCCGGAAUCAUUGGGCGUAAAGAGCGCGUAGGUGGCUUGUCAGGUCUGAUGUGAAAACUUGGGGCUCAACCCCAAGCCUGCAUCGGAAACCGGCUUGCUAGAGUCUGGGAGAGGAGAGUGGAAUUCCUGGUGUAGCGGUGAAAUGCGUAGAUAUCAGGAGGAACACCGGUAGCGAAGGCGGCUCUCUGGAACAGUACUGACGCUGAGGCGCGAAAGCUAGGGGAGCGAACAGGAUUAGAUACCCUAGUAGUCC
RNAcentral lists this ribosomal RNA (801 nucleotides) under uncultured bacterium. Its description in RNAcentral is "bacterial SSU rRNA". It matches the Rfam family "Bacterial small subunit ribosomal RNA", at positions 8 to 796 of the family's 1533-position model. The record is from RNAcentral.